GCGGAGCAGAAGAAGGAGGAGGAGGAUCUUCUGGGCAACAAGAGGAAGUGGGACAAGACUGGGUUCUACCCAUAUGAGUCUGAUGAAGAUGAGCCGUACGAGUAUGAAUCUGGAGAUGAUGUGGUCGAGGGGAACG
Triticum dicoccoides is the source of this 136-nucleotide long non-coding RNA. RefSeq lists it as uncharacterized. NCBI's taxonomy places the organism in Eukaryota, Viridiplantae, Streptophyta, Magnoliopsida, Poales, Poaceae. The record is from RefSeq and is a predicted model, not a curated record. The transcript is spliced from 3 exons.